AGGUCAUGUGACUGUCAAGCUCUCCUCUUUCACUGUUGCUCCACCUCUCAGUGGGCCGUCACCAAGAGGGAGAGGUGGAGGAAGUAUUCAGAUCCUUUACUGAAGUCAAAGUACUAAUAGCACACUGUGACAAUACUCCACUACAGGUUGAGCUCAUUUGAACUCCUUUAUAUCCUGUUGGGGAGUUUAAUCUACAGCAAUGCAUCAUGGUCUAUAAGAUCAUCAUAUGUCUGUAGCGUGGCUGUCCUGUGAGAACCACGUAUCUCUAAAGAGUUUUCUGAGUUUUAGGUCACACAGCCCGCAGGUUGUCCUCUCUUCCCCCGAGAGGUGGAGAGCAGAGAUGGAUGAGUCCGACAGGAAGCUCCUCUCCAGCCCGUGAUGGAUGCUGCUGCCUCCGACGCUCAGGCCGCGGUGAGGGAACACGGCGGCUCCAUGAUGAGGAGGAGGAGGGUGUAGGUCAGGGUUAUAUAUAGAAAACAGAUGAUGAGGUCUUUGCUCCGCCCUCUCCGUGAUGCAUGAUGACAGCCUCUCCAGCUGUGUCCACUCAGGUGAUGUCAUCUAAAAUGGACGAUGGGCGAAGCGGCAGAGCAGCUGUCCCAGCACAGCACCGCACGCACCAGUAAACUCACCACAGCUGGAAGACGAGACCAGACAGGUCAGACUGAAGGUCAAAGGUCAGAAUACAUUAAUGGAGAGCAGGGGAUGUGUUCACGGAACAUUUCAAAGCUAAAAUAAAAGCUCUUAAGAGUUAUUCACAAAACAUUUUAGUGCUUAAAGAAACUCUAAAGUCCAGAGAACGAAAAACAGACUAUUCAGCUUCAGCAUCCAUCAGAGAUUCAACAAAAAUGCAGAGACACAGAGAGUCUCCUUAGAGUCAGGAGCCGGUUUUCUCAUGUAUGUAUGACACUUAAGGCUUAAUUUCUCCUUAGCUGAGGUCCUUACUUAAGAGCAUUGUGCAGAGUCCCAUAGACAGUUCCCUUAGUUUAGGUAAAAAAUCAUUAAGACGUUUACUGCAUUGAGAGAUUUUACAGCCAGCAGAUUCCACAGUUUCCGUGGUAACUGUUUGUUUGUUUGCACUCACACUUUUGAUACCUUAGUCUUUUGUGCAAUGGUUUCACUAAUUUUAAGGGAUUCCUUAAGUAUGAGAUCAAGAAAGGAGAAAAUCUUACCCUAAAGACUUGAAGAUCAUCCGGAGGAGAAGAUGUGUUUUGUGCGGCUGGGACCGGUUGUACAAAACACCUUAGGUUUUCGCCCACUUAAGGCUUAAUUUCUCCUCAGCUGAGGGACUCACACAGUCGCACAGAAUCCCUUCAAAGUUUUCCUUAGUUAUGGAAAACCGUUAGCUCAUUUACUGCAUUGAAAGAGAUGGCCGAUAGUUAGAGAGUGAAAAAAUGGCAGAAGAAAAGAAGACAAGAAAACCAAACUGGUCAGAGGAGGAAAUGAUUCAACACAAACAAACUACAAACUACAAAGUAAUUUUGAUCCCCAAACACCAGAAAACAAAAAACAAUUACAGGAAGAAACUGAUCCUUUGCUAAGUCCCACCCCCGGAUGCAGACUGGCCAAUCAUAACAUAGCAUCAGGGUGGCUUGAACGUUUUUUGACUUCCCCCUGAGAUCCCUGUCCGUCCAGCGACAGAGGUGCUGGCAGCAGCACGGGGGUGAAGCCAAACCCCGCUCAUCUGCACACACUGUGAUGCCACACAGCUGGUUCAAUAUCAGCACAGUUUCCCUUUAUAUUCAUUGUCUUGUGUGGCGAUCAGCAGUGAUGUGGUGGUUCACUUUUACACUGUGAUCUGUAGCCUAUAGUUCGGCUUUAGCUUCUAACUAUCUUUGUCUUUUUAACCUGUUGUUGCUGCUGAGUCAGUUUGACAUCCUGGAUAUAUCCUUCAAACACAGACUGUAGACCCCUCUGUCUGCUUCUCUCUGGGGUCACUGUUUCGUUUUCCCAAAUAUAUGAUCAUAAUAUUUCUUCAGGGAGUGCAGUUAGUCACAGUGUGGGCUCCACGCUUACUCUGACAGCUUGUUGGACCAUCACAAAGGGGCGGGGCUUAGUGAACAUUAAUUCAGUCAAAUCUUAAAUCUAAAAUAAAUCCAUUGGACUCACCUGGUCGCAGAGCACUCCUCUGCAGGUGUUUUUUGUUGUUGUUGUUUUGUUUUGUUUUCAUUUACCACCAUAAAAUUGGUCAUGUUGCAGUUAAGAUAGACUCAGAGGGACCUUAAGGUUUUUUUGUUGUUGUUUGUUUUUUACCUGGUUGUGGUUGCUAAGGUCUUUUGUGCAGCGGUCAAGGGAUUCCUUAAGUAUAAGACCAAGACAAGGAGAAAAUCAUAAACACUUCAAAUCUUAACUUAAGGUGUUUUGUGGGCCUCAGAUUUUAUUUAAGAAAACCUUAACUAGGACCUUAAGGAAAAUCUUGCAACCUACCCCAGAGGUUUAAUCUCUUUCAGACCGUUUCAAUAAUCUGUUGCAGACGCCAAAAAAACCCAUCAAUAAAUAAUCAGCAAUAAGUUUAAAAUAAAAAAUGAUCCCGCUGUCUUUGUGCUGCGUUCAAUGUUUCCCCACCCACGGGAGUUGUGAGUACUCUGCUUUGAAACACACAAACAUUAAUUAAAUGUAGCACGAGUGAAAACUAAGAUGAACCCAGCAGACUGAGUUUGUAACGUCACUGCAACAAGUAGUUCAACUGUUGUGCAGGUAAAGUCAGGAAUUUAAAAUCAGUCUGAUUUUACUGAGCAGCUGAAGGUUUGAGUUGAGAUUUUAUCAGCUCAAAUUAAUCUCCUAUCAAAGAAAAAUGACUGAACCUGAAACACAAUAAGCCUCUCAUAGACACCUGACUCCACUCACACUGAGGGAAAGAGCAGUGAGUGCAGCAGCAGCGCCCCCUGCUGACUCUGAAUGAAGCAGCACAGCCUGGAACAAGACAUCUUCUCUAUCAGGGAGACGCUCUGGAAAAUGUCUAAAUAAUAUUCAGAUGUCUUUGAAAACGUGGAGUUUGUCUUGUGUGAUCUCUGCAUCUGAGAAGUUCCCACUGAUUACCCACAAAAAGUUACAUAAAUGUUUUGUUUCUAUCAAAUAAAAACAAAUAAAUGAAAAUCUAUAAAAUUUGUUUUUCAAGAAAUUAAGUUAAAUGAAGUAUAUUUAUUUGUUGAGCACCAUCACAGUCCUGGUUGCCAAACUGACUCUGACCCCCUGUGUGUUGUUUUUUUAUGUGUGUGGUUUUAUUUUGCAGGUAUCAGUUUUCUGCGUUUUGGUUGUCAGUAAUAAGUGAUGAGCCUGUUUUAAUGGAUGAUUAAAAUGAACCUUGUGCUUUACAAAGACAGGUUAAAUACAAUUUAACCAAAUAAUCAAAUAAAAGCAGAUUUUAUAUUCACAUAAUUAAUCAUCACUUUAACUCAGCUGUGAAGCCUCUUAUAAGCUUCACCUUAACUUCACACUAUUUGUAUUUAAACAGUGACAUCCAUGUAAAUAUGUUUAAAAUACACUUUACAGAAAUGUGACUAUAUCCUUGAAAUGUGAU
Long non-coding RNA from Epinephelus fuscoguttatus (brown-marbled grouper), 3517 nucleotides. RefSeq lists it as uncharacterized. The transcript is spliced from 3 exons. Lineage: Eukaryota; Metazoa; Chordata; Actinopteri; Perciformes; Serranidae. The record is from RefSeq and is a predicted model, not a curated record.